Molecule: RNA transcript, 1826 nt
Organism: Halichondria panicea
Lineage: Eukaryota; Metazoa; Porifera; Demospongiae; Suberitida; Halichondriidae
Gene name: UBX domain-containing protein 11-like
Exons: 9
Source: RefSeq, a predicted model, not a curated record
CAUAAUUAUGGGUCAAAGGUGGGAGGGGCUGAAUUAAUGCAGCACAAUAAUACUGAUCAAGAUGGGCUGUACACUGUCCAGAAACAGCAGCCAGCAGCUCAGGAGUUCAGCUCAUAACUCAGUUGUCCCAACUGUUCCAUUGGACCCCUGGAACCUAUUGGACUCCACCAUAGCAUCAAUGGGUGAACCACCUCCCUACACUCAAAUACCAGAGAAUGGACAUGUUUCACUCAUGCAUGGAAGUCCAUUGAAGCCAGAUGAACACACCAGUGUACUAAAUAACUCUACAAGCAGACAUUUUCUCAACUCCAGCAUUAACAGUACGGACAACAUGUUGUCCGAGCCAACAGAUGCGUUUCAUCCCACAAGAACAAGCUCUCCAGCUGUAGCGACUGCACCACCAGAAGAAUUGUUUCCCCCAUACCUGGAGUCUACAUCAGUGCAUGAACCUUUCCCCCCACACCUCCCCCCAUUGACCAGAUUGACCAGCCAUGAGGAGCAGUCUCUUGCAGUCAAUGAGCAAAGCAACAAUACCUCACACCUUUCCCCAUUGACCAGACUGACUAGCUACCAGGAGCAGUCUCCAAUCAAUACGGAGCAAAGCAACAGUACAGUAACCCCAAGCCUCCCACCACCAUUGAACAGACUGCAGCCUCCUGCAGACAAUGAGCACAGCACAGCCAGCUCUGCAGAACACAGACACAAGAGACGGCGAAGGAAAAGGAAAAGAGGACACAGUUGGCAUGGAGAGAGAGUGGCACCAGCUCCUAUGCAACAGGAUGCCAGUGAUCAUCACUGAACAAUGAAUUUUGUUUACAUUUACCCUUACAUAAGACUGAGCCUGGAGGUGUGGCUAAAGAUCUUAAUAAUUAUGUUGCUGUAUGUAUUGAUUGUUUUGGCUGUGAGAGUGGCCUCAUCUCUGGAGACUCUAAGCAACGGCUGGGAUCCACUGGACUCUGUGCAGGAUGAUUAUGUGUCCAUAGCGUAUCCAGAUGGUGGUGUUAACCCAAGACUAGUCAACUAUGUUAUCAACAGCACUGUACCUUCUACUGGGAGGCCGUACACAAUGUAUGUGGCUGUGUUAAACAGUGGUCUCCCAAGCUCAUUCACGCUGGAGUUACCCUCUCAAGGUUGUUGCCAUCCUAUGAAGACGUCUAGCACAGCAAGACUCCACAACUGUAGUUAUGCUACCAACGCUGGCUUCUUCAACACAAAGGAUGGAUGUUGCAUAGGCAACCUCAUCACUCAUGGCAAAAUAGUGCAAGUUUUCUCUCUGAGUAGAGUUAACUUUGCCCUCAGUAAGAAGGCCUAUCAGAUUGGCUACAUGCCUGAGACUGUGCUUAAAAGCUCUGACCUGCAGGAAGGUAUCAGUGGGGCUGGGUGGCUUGUACGAAAUGGUAGCUCGUAUGUGAACAAAAGUCAAGAGGUUGAGGGGCUAUCUAAAGAGUUUGUGAGUGAGAAAGCACCGCGCUCUGGUGUCGGUGUGGCUGCUAAUGGCUCACUGUUCCUGUUACAGGUAGAUGGUGAGGAGGACAAACACGAGGGGCUGGAUCUGUGGGAGUUUGCUGAGGUGGCAAUCUCAUGUGGUCUAGCCCAUCUUGUGAACCUGGAUGGUGGAGGGAGCAGUGUGUCUGUACAGAAUGGCAAAGUUAUUGACAGACCAACUUGUUUAGACAUCAGCUUGCUCUUAAUUGAGUAAUGAGUUCUCCAACAAGCAACCUCAAGAAGCCCAAGAGAAGUCCAUUGCCUGCAGCAGGCCGUCGGGAUGGCGUUCCCUUUCGACAGCCUGCAGAUUGUAGGCCCUCCCCUAGUCUAAAAGCUUCUGC